RNAcentral lists this ribosomal RNA (497 nucleotides) under uncultured bacterium. Its description in RNAcentral is "partial 16S ribosomal RNA". It matches the Rfam family "Bacterial small subunit ribosomal RNA", at positions 28 to 507 of the family's 1533-position model. The record is from RNAcentral.
GAUGAACGCUGGCGGCGUGCCUAAUACAUGCAAGUCGAGCGAACAGACGGGGAGCUUGCUCCUUUGACGUUAGCGGCGGACGGGUGAGUAACACGUGGGUAACCUACCUAUAAGACUGGGAUAACUUCGGGAAACCGGAGCUAAUACCGGAUAAUAUUUCGAACCGCAUGGUUCGAUAGUGAAAGAUGGCUUUGCUAUCACUUAUAGAUGGACCUGCGCCGUAUUAGCUAGUUGGUAAGGUAACGGCUUACCAAGGCAACGAUACGUAGCCGACCUGAGAGGAUGAUCGGCCACACUGGACCUGAGACACGGUCCAGACUCCUACGGGAGGCAGCAGUAGGCAAUCUUCCGCAAUGGGCGAAAGCCUGACGGAGCAACGCCGCGUGAGUGAUGAAGGUCUUCGGAUCGUAAAACUCUGUUAUUAGGGAAGAACAAACGUGUAAGUAACUGUGCACGUCUUGACGGUACCUAAUCAGAAAGCCACGGCUAACUACGUG